UCAUAAGAAUUUUUUCUCCAGAAAAAAAUGAUAAUAUAUAUGGGCAUUGCUUGCAUUUCUAAUAUGAGGCUCUUGCACAUUGGUGGCUUAAAUAUUAAGAGCUGUGCUGCAAAUGGCAUUAUUUCAUUCUUUUUAUGACUGAUAUUUCCAUGUAUAUAUGUACCACAUAUUCUUUAUCCAUUCAUCUGUCAAUGGGCAUUUAGGUUGCUUCCAUGUUUUGGCUAGUAUAAAUAGUGCUUCUGUGAAUAAUGGGGUACAUGCACUUCUUUAAAUUAUAGUUUUCUCCAGAUAUAUGCCCAAGAGUAGGAUUGCAGGAUCAUAUGACACCUCUAUUUUUUAUUUUUUUAAGGAAGCUUCGUAUUGUUAUCCACAGUAGCUGCACUAGUUUACAUUCCCUCCAACAGUAUAGGAUAGUUCCUUUUUCUCCACACUCUCUCUAGCAUUUAUUAUUUAUAGACUUUUUGAUGGUGGCCAUUCUAACUGGUGUGAGGUGGUAUCUCAUUGCAGUUUUGAUUUGCAUUUCUCUACUAAUUAGCAAUGUGAAGCAUUUCUUCAUGUGCCCAUUGGCCAUUCAUAUGUCUUCUCUAAAGAAAUAUCUAUUUAUGUCUUCCGCCCAUUUUUUUGAUUGGGUUGUUUUCUUUUUUGACAUUGAGUUGUAUGAGCUGUUUGUAUAUUUUGAAAAUUAAGCCCUUGUCAGUUGCAAAUAUUUUCUCCCAUUCUGUAGGUUGGAAUAUUAUUCAGCCAUAAAAAAGAAUGAGAUAAUACCAUUAGUAGCAACAUGCAUGGACUUAAAGAUGAUCACACUAAGUGAAGUAUGACAGAGACAGAAAGUCAAGUAUCAUAUUGUUUAUAUGUGGAAUCUAAAAAAUAAAUAUACAAAUGAACUUAUUUACAAAACAGAAAUAGACCUGCAGACAUAGAAAAUAAAUGUACCGUUGCCAAAGUGGAAAGCCAGGGGAGGGAUAAAUUAGGAGGCUGAGAUUAACAUACAUCACACUACUGUAUGUAAAAUAGAUAACCGACAAGGAAUUAUAGCACUGGGAACUAUACUCAAUCCUUUGUAAUAACCUAUAAUAACCUGAAUCACUGUGCUGUACACCUGAAACCAGCACAAUACUGUAAAUCAACUAUACCUCAAUAAAACAAACAAACAAACAAACAAGCUGUGGGAUAGCAUAAUGAGGGUGGGAAAUAUACUCUUAGGAAAUGUCACUAGCUUAUUUUAACAUAUGUGUUAUUAUUACCAAAAAAGUACAAGAAUCGUAGAGGUGCAGUCAUUUUUCAUUGUGGUCGUCAAUAACACCCAGUGCUUUGGAGCAGAAUACUAUUAGGGCAUCCCACAGAAGCAGAGACUCAACACCUCCCAAAGUGCUUCAUGGCUCUGAAGUAGUAUUCCCACUAGAUGAUGGUGUCUCCUUAAGAUUCGCAGUAUUUCCAUAUCAUGGGCUAUGUAGGCAGAAACUUGGAACUAUAUUACAGACCAAUUGUGGAUGGAUGUUUUAAAAUUAGAUUUCUAACCUCUAUUAAUAAGACUUAAAAAAAGAAAUAAGGAUAUGAGCACAAAAUACAUUUUACAAAAUUGUUUAUUUUAUUUCAGUUAAGUUUUAUGUAAUGUUAAAUAUUAUUUUUCAGAAUGGCUUGAUGAACACUGAAAAAUUUGGUCCCAAAUUACUGUUGCAACACUCAGGUGUUUGAUGCAUUGGCUUUUAGAGCUGUGGUCACUCAAUGCUCUUUCUUUAAGUCUCUUAUUUUAUGUAAGAGAAAAUGGUGACCUAGAGAAAAAUAAAUGGUUUUUCUUCUCAUGAUUAUAAUACUAGUACCUGGAAAGUUGGCUUUGAAUAUAAAUCUUCCUUCUGGUUUCUUUAAAUAAGGGCUUCUUACCCUGUAAAGUCAUUUAUAUCCAGCCAGCAAAUGUCCUGUGUUUCUCUUUCUAAAACAUUAGCAGUAUGGAAACAGAAUAGAAGGGGGCAUUUAGCUUCAUUAUUAAACAUGGAAAAAACUAAUAAAAAAGUAUAUAUAAUUGAAUAUAAACUUGCCCAUGUAUUAUUGUUUCUGUAAAGUCACAUUAUUAAAAGUUUCUAGUUUGUAAUUUCAUCCUUGAUUUAUAUGCUAGGGCACUCUGAUCCUUUAAUGAGUUUUGUUGAUAUGUCUACUAUGUAUCCUUUGUAAAAAAUUAAAGAUAGUCCUUUGAAUUUUUUAUUUCUUCAACUUAACAUGCAUGAUUCUUAACUAUACAGCUGGGUGAAUGUUUUACAUAUGUCUAAACAUAUGUAAUCAUACUCAUGGCUACAUGUAAUCCUCUCUCAGAUCAGGAUGUAGAAAUUUCCAGCACCCCAGAAGAUUAUCUGAUUCCCUACAGAUGUCUACCACAAUGGAUUAAGUUUGCCAGAUUAAGUUUACUGUUCUAUUUAUAUGAAAUUAAAUUAAGUAGACUCACACAACCCAUAUACAUUUUUGUCUGGCUUAUGUUACUCAUCAGUUUGUCCAUGUUAUUUUUCAUACAUCAAUAAGCUGUUCUUUUUAUUGCGAUGUAGUGUUUUUAUGUGAAUAUAGCACAAUUUAUUUACUCAUUCUACACUUUUUGAUUAUUUCCAGUUGUCUUUUUCCGUGACUUUUAAAAUUUAGAUAUGGUGUCAAAAAAGGAAAGUCAGUUUUUCUCUCUGGUAGAUGAAAUAUGAAAAUAGAAUCACUUUAGUUAAAGCAUUAAAAAUAAUGAUUGCUGUUAUCUGCUUUAUAUAACUGAUUCAUGCAUAUUUGAACUACAGGGAACAAGGUCUCGAUACUACCAUUAUUAAUGGAAAUAUUUCCUGAAAAUAAGAAUUAGUGUGUAUUAUUCCAAGUAGUCGCUAAAGAAUUAUUACUAAAGUAUUCGAAUGUUUAACCAUCAUUCCUUUGCUUGUGUUAUUUAAUAUAUAUGUAACCAUAAUUAUAGCUUGGCCCACGUACACAUCUUUUUAAACUCAAUUAUCAAUUUUUUAAAAGUCCUUAUGAAUUGCUGGAAUUUUCCAGUGUAGAACAAAAUAAAUUAAGCCAUUGUCUUUGACAAAGAAUAAUUUGGAGUGAUUCUGAAUGUGUUUAAACUCAUAAUUUCAUAUAUGAACAAAAUAAGAUGCAAUAUUUUGACAUUUAGAAUAAAGAUUCCUUUGAAAGUCAUGGGAAUAGUUUUUCAGAGAUUUUUGUUACCAUUUUCCAUUAUUUUUGUUAUUGUUGCUCCACAGUUCCUAUGAUUCUGUAUUCAAAUUUAAGGUGAUUUACUCUACCAGGAAAGCAUGUAUGUUACUAAUAAAAAUUGAAAAGUUAUUUAUUAUUAUAAAAUAAAGGAAGAUUAACUGAUAAUUAGAUGUCAUUAGCAAACUCAGCUAUGGAGUUAUUUAUGAGCUUCCAUUGAGUACAUCCCCCAGUGCUGAUGAAUAUCCUUGUUACAUUGGCUAUAUUGAUGAAUCAUCUGGGAUUGUCAUUUGGUAUUAUUUACACUUGCUAAUCAGCAACUUGAAGUAAAAUAAAUAACAUUAAAGAAGUAUUUUAAAAUGUAGUUUACAAAGCCCUUUCACAUAAUAUACACAUCAAGGCUAGGAGGGAGAAGACAUCACACUCCCCAACCCCGAACAGUGAAAUAAUUAGUAUCCUAUCGUUAGCCAAAGACUGAUUUAUGACCUGAACUGGGAUUUUUUUUUUCCACUCUAAAUCUAUUAUGUCUUAUUAUAAGAAACUACAUUUCUGUUAAUAAUGGAACCCCAUUUAAGAGGUCCAGGGUGAACAAUUUACUACAAUUUUUCCAAAAUCUUUUUUAAAACUGAUUUAUUAUAAUACAAAAUUCCCUUUUAAUCUGGAAAUUUAUCAACACUAAAUAAUGCUUUGUUUUUACAGAUCUUUUAGGGGUUAUAUUUUAAAGACAUUAUAGCCCCUAAAAACAGUAGUACCACUUUCUAAUAUUUUUGUUUUUAUACAACCAGUCCAAAUUUGGCCAAAGUCAAUGAUGUUUUUUAUUAUUUUUGACAACCAUACAGUGCCUGAUAAUGAUUCCAUUUUUGACAUCAGCUGGCAGUAAGCUUCCCUCUCAGAUGAAUUCAUUGAUGACCUGUUCUCCAUUCAGACAUGUAAUGGACACUAGAAAAUUCCACUGGUGUGUUUCUGCUUAAUUAGAUGUAUUUGCAUCUAAUAGGAAGAGAAGAUCAACUUCUGGCAAUGAUUUUUUCCCCAUAUUUUAUUUUAGAUAUUAAAUACAUUUUCAACUGUCUACAAUGUCUGAAGGCCUCUGAAGAAUCUAAUGUAAACCUUUUUUUUUUUUUUUUUAAAUGACAGGGAUCUACUGUAUAGCACAGGGAACUAUGUUCAAUAUCCUGAGAUAAACCAUAUGGAAAAAUAUAUAUACACUGAAUCGCUUUUCUGCACUGCAGAAAUUAACACAAUGUGGUAAAUUAACUAUACUUAAAUUAAAAAAUAUGCUACUUUUUCAUACUACCAUGCUAUGUAUCUUUGGCUUUGCAAAAAUAUGAUUGACUUCAAAGUCCUGUUGUCUUUGAGUUCCCAUUGUGACCCAUUGGAAAAGAAAUCGACUAGGGACCAUGAGGUUGGGGGUUUGAUCCCUGGCCUCGUUUAGUGGAUUAAGGAUCCGGUGUUGCCACGAAAUGUGGUGUAGUCACAGACGCGGCUUGGAUCCAGCAUUGCUGUGCCUCUGGUGUAGGCUGGCAGCUACAGCUCCAAUUCGAUCCCUAGCCUGGGAAUUUCCAUAUGCUGUGGGUAUGGCCCUAAAAAGACAAAAAAAAACCCAACAAAGUACUGUCCUCUUUAACUCAAUAUGUCACCUUAUAGCAAUUGGCCUUUUACUGACCCAUGAAAAUAGAUGGAGUUAUUCUGAUCUCACUGUGGAGAAGGUCAGGUUCACAGGUUAGGUUUGAGAACAGCAGAAGGAAUCACCUUAGAGGAAGAAGUUGAUUUUUAAAAAGCAAAUGUUUAUUUACAUUAAGUUCAUCAGAAAUAGGUAGAGAUGAGGAUGAAACAACUGCAGAAUUUCUUCAGGAUAUUUUUAAAUCGCCUCCUCUUAGGUAUCCUUGUCUAAAUAGGUUAACUUUAUAGCCAUUUCCCCAUGAAGAAUGCAUCAGCUUUCCUCUAAACCACCCCUCCUUGUUUAUUCUUCAGUUACCACACGCCUAUUUUCUUGUUGUAAUAUUUAAGCAAUUUUAUCUUAAAUAUUUCAUAAUAUUUAGUUCAUCUGCCCUUAUUUCUGUCUUCUUGUAAUUCUGUUUGCUUUAAUAUAGCUGCUAUAAAAAGCAACCAUGUAUAAAUCUCCAGUUAUUUUUGUUGUGUAUACAAAGAUCUCCCAGAGAAAAGAGCAAUAAGUAUGGCUUUCUUAUUAACAGUAGUUUACUUUGAAACUGUAAUAUUUAUAUUCUGAAACCACUCUGUUCAUUUGUUAGUUUGCUAUAGACCAAGAAGCACUACAUUAAUAUGUUAUUUUCCACAGGAUUUUUUUGUUGCUGUUGUUAAAAGAAAGUGAGUUUAUAUUUAACUACAGUGGACAAAAGAAAAAUCUCAACAUGUUUUUAUUUUGUCUAGACAUAUUGUGAAGUAAUAAAGUACAAAAUUUGUAAUCAAUUAUAAAAUGUUUUAAAUGCACAGAACUUACUGUCUAUAAUAGCUGUUUUGCUGUAAUCAUCAUUAUAAUUUAUCAACAAGUCUUCUUUUGAAGGGAGGGGAUAUAUCUGAUUAACUUUGAUGUUUUUUCUUGUCUUGUUUGUAAGAAAUUAUAGCCUAUAGAAAACUAAAUGGCAAUUCUGGCUAAUAGAGACCACAGUGAUACCCAAAUUCAGUAGGAAAAUUGCUAUAUGUGGAAGACUCUCCUUCUGCCCUGUCAGAACUAGUUAUUCCUCAUUCAUUGUAGUUCCUAAUGUUCACUGAUAGGAAAUAAUUCCAUUCUGAUUCAUGACUAAUUUGUCAUUUGAGUUGUAUUAAAAAAUUCAAUAGGAGUUCCAUUGUGGCUCGGCUGGUUAAGAACCCGACUAGUAUCCAUGAGAAUUUGGGUUUGAUCCCUGGCCUCACUCAGUGGGUUAGGGAUCCGGCAUUUCUGCAAGCUUGUGGCAUAGGUCACAGGUGCACGACUCAGAUCCCACACUGCUGUGCUUGUGGUAUAGGCCGGCAGCUGCAGCUCUGAUUCACCCUUAGCCUGGGAACUUCC
Molecule: long non-coding RNA, 6175 nt
Filed under: Sus scrofa (pig)
Lineage: Eukaryota; Metazoa; Chordata; Mammalia; Artiodactyla; Suidae
Description: lncRNA (ENSSSCG00040000198.1)
Source: RNAcentral